UCUUGGUCAGAGCAGGAGGGCUCUUCUACUCAUUACAGUACACAGUACAUUGACUCUUAAGGUAGGGUCAGGGUGAUACCAAAACAUGACUUUAUGUUGUGUACUGUAGUAUUGUGUUUAGUGUUCUGUUUAGAGGCUAAGUUAGCCUGAUCCACCACUCUGACCGCUGCGCUGAACUUUCCUUUCACUUCAUAUAUCUGGCACUCCCUGAUUAAGGAAGUGGUGGAGGAGAGCAUUCCCUGCAGGACACAGGAAAGGAAGAGGCCGUCCACAGCCAGGCAACACAGGCAUGAAUACUCCAGGUUUGGUUUGAAGCCUCUGGAAGGAAGACACAGAGCCCAGGGGACUUCCUUUGGGUUGGAGCGCAUCAUGUUGGGACCAGAGUGCACCAGAGUCCUAUGCAAAGACAAUGGCCAAGUGAGAACACUGAGGG
RNAcentral lists this long non-coding RNA (433 nucleotides) under Salmo salar (Atlantic salmon). Its description in RNAcentral is "lncRNA (ENSSSAG00000094193.1)". Lineage: Eukaryota; Metazoa; Chordata; Actinopteri; Salmoniformes; Salmonidae. The record is from RNAcentral.